AUUGAACGCUGGCGGCAGGCCUAACACAUGCAAGUCGAACGAGCGGCGGACGGGUGAGUAAUGUAUGGGGACUGCCCGAUGGAGGGGGAUAACUACUGGAAACGGUAGCUAAUACCGCAUACUAUCGGAUAACCCAUAUGGGAUUAGCUCGUAGGUGAGGUAAUGGCUCACCUAGGCGACGAUCCCUAGCUGGUCUGAGAGGAUGAUCAGCCACACGGGGACUGAGACACUGCCCAGACUCCUACGGAGGCAGCAGUGGGGAAUAUUGGGCAAUGGGCGCAAGCCUGAUCGAGCAAUGCCGCGUGUAUGAAGAAGGCUUUAGGGUUGUAAAGCUCUUUCGUUCGGGAGGCGUUAUCUACACAAGAAGCACCGGCUAACUCCGUGCCAGCAGCCGCGGUAAUAC
This 403-nucleotide ribosomal RNA is filed under the name uncultured bacterium. RNAcentral describes it as "partial 16S ribosomal RNA". It matches the Rfam family "Bacterial small subunit ribosomal RNA", at positions 30 to 526 of the family's 1533-position model. The record is from RNAcentral.